AUGCGCUGCAGACAGUGCAGCAGUCGACACCUUAUGGCUCUGCAUGACAUCGGUGCUGGGAAGCCAGAGAAUCCAAAGCUUGUUCAAGAUGAAACUGCUGAUACCAACAGCUGUCUAUUCAAUACCAUGAAUGAGAUUCUCCUGAUUCAUAAACCGCCUACCAGCAGGAAGGUUCUACUUAAAAUUAGCAAAGUGAUUCUCAGAAAUGGCAAGAGAAGGGUAAAUGCAUACGCAAUCCAGGAUGAUGGAUCAGAGAGAACUAUCCUCCUCCAUAGUGCAGCUCAGCAGUUGGGCCUCAGAGGUCAGCCUGAAGAUCUCCCACUCAGAACAAUCAGGCAGGAGCUACAAGUUCUCAGAGAAGCAGCAGUCUCAUUUGUGAUCUCACCAAUUGCUCAGCCGACUAAAAGACACAUACAUACACAGACCACUUCACCUGAACCAAUCAGCGUCCAGAAACCUUGACCACGUGACCCCCCCACCCUGACAGAGACUGAAGUUCAGUGCAGUGGGAUACGGGGUCGGACACUUAAGUUUCUGCAACAUCAUUGUUUUUGGACUGUUUAAAGAUCGCCUUUUGGACAAAGUGUUGUGCGUGAAUGCAAAAGUAAGUUUGAAUCACUAAUUAUAUAGUCGAUGAGAGACUUAUUCACCUUUGUAUACAAGUUAUUACGUCCGUGAGGUAACGAUAUCUAUAUGUGUAUGCGUGCAUUCAUAAUUAGCAUGUAACAUUGUAAACAUUGUAACCCUGUUGUUUAUAUGCUUAUAUACAUAUCUGGUGAGUGCUAGAGUAACAUUUGUUGUUAUUAGUAUGAGUUAAGUUCCUGUUUGAAACAGGGUUCGCUGCAAUUUUUUUAUAUCUAACGGGUAUACUGUUAUAAACAUAACUUUCUAAGCGCAUGCACUCUCGUAGCUCAUACAGAGUGGCGCUUCACAAGCGGCAUGGCUCUAAUAAGGUGCCAAGUUACAGUUGUGCACUGCUUAUAAAAUACGAAUUACAGCCUGCCUUGUAUUCUACAUGUCUUUUGCUAAUAAUGUUCAUGUUUAAUUACUAAGCUUAAUCUAUUGUGCUGUUAUAGCCAGUUUGUUAUAAUAUUUUUUACUAUUAUCAUGUAUAUUAUGUAUAUUCAUGUUUAUGUCAAUUUUUCAUUUGUAGAAAAACCACAGCCACGACCAAACAGUCUGUUGAGUGGUGACAAUAAAUGGGUUAGUCUUAUAAAAAAACAAGUGCAUCUUCGUUUCGUCUCUAAUCGGACAGUCUUUGGUGGGUCACUACCCGGAGCUGGUAAAUAGUUCUAUAUGGUGAAGAGCUAUAAAAGCAAACAUUUUUACAUCGACCAAAAAUUGAAAGGUCUCUUUGUAACCAGCAAUUUAAGAUUCGGUUUGCUUUUUGUAGAUUAUUUUCAAAAUUAUCUUUCGUACAAAUUUUCUGAUCUUUGGUAAUUGUAAUGCCUAAAUAUUUUACCUUAUUUUUUACCGGAAUAUUAUUCAGACAAGUGAUAUCACUCUGAUGAAGGGCAAAGAGUUCACAUUUGCUUAAAUUUAGCUGGAGUCCUGAUGCCUUAGCAAAGGUAUUAACUAAUGAAAUACCCAGAUUAAUUUGAUCCUUGUUUUUUAAGAAUAGCGUAGUAUCAUCUGCCAAUUGACUGAUUGCCAUACUUUUAUCAAAUACAUUUAAUUUCUGUACCGUUCGAUCAUGAAUAACUAAAGUAGACAACAUAUCUGCAGCCAAAAUAAAUAAAAGAGGGGAUAGAGGGCAGCCCUGUCUUAUUCCACGACUAAUAUGAAAUCUUUGUGAAG
Molecule: long non-coding RNA, 1797 nt
Organism: Cyprinus carpio carpio
Lineage: Eukaryota; Metazoa; Chordata; Actinopteri; Cypriniformes; Cyprinidae
Source: Ensembl